Molecule: ribosomal RNA, 253 nt
Filed under: uncultured bacterium
Lineage: Bacteria
Description: partial 16S ribosomal RNA
Rfam family: Bacterial small subunit ribosomal RNA
Source: RNAcentral
UACGUAGGGUCCAAGCGUUGUCCGGAAUUAUUGGGCGUAAAGAGCUCGUAGGCGGUGUGUCGCGUCGGAUGUGAAAGCCCGGGGCUUAACCCCGGGUCUGCAUUCGGUACGGGCAUGCUGGAGUUCGGUAGGGGAGACUGGAAUUCCUGGUGUAGCGGUGAAAUGCGCAGAUAUCAGGAGGAACACCGGUGGCGAAGGCGGGUCUCUGGGCCGAUACUGACGCUGAGGAGCGAAAGCGUGGGGAGCGAACGGG